RNAcentral lists this ribosomal RNA (482 nucleotides) under uncultured bacterium. Its description in RNAcentral is "partial 16S ribosomal RNA". It matches the Rfam family "Bacterial small subunit ribosomal RNA", at positions 30 to 507 of the family's 1533-position model. The record is from RNAcentral.
AUUGAACGCUGGCGGCAUGCUUUACACAUGCAAGUCGAACGGUAACAGCACUUCGGUGGCUGACGAGUGGCGAACGGGUGAGUAAUACAUCGGAACGUGCCUAGUAGUGGGGGAUAACUACUCGAAAGAGUAGCUAAUACCGCAUGAGAUCUAAGGAUGAAAGCAGGGGACCUUCGGGCCUUGCGCUACUAGAGCGGCUGAUGGCAGAUUAGGUAGUUGGUGGGAUAAAAGCUUACCAAGCCGACGAUCUGUAGCUGGUCUGAGAGGACGACCAGCCACACUGGGACUGAAACACGGCCCAGACUCCUACGGGAGGCAGCAGUGGGGAAUUUUGGACAAAGGGCGCAAGCCUGAUCCAGCAAUGCCGCGUGCAGGAUGAAGGCCUUCGGGUUGUAAACUGCUUUUGUACGGAACGAAAAGCCCUCUUCUAAUACAGGAGGGUCAUGAAGGUACCGUAAGAAUAAGCACCGGCUAACUACGUG